Molecule: ribosomal RNA, 305 nt
Filed under: uncultured bacterium
Lineage: Bacteria
Description: bacterial SSU rRNA
Rfam family: Bacterial small subunit ribosomal RNA
Source: RNAcentral
UUUGCCUACGGGGGGCAGCAGUGAGGAAUAUUGGUCAAUGGGCUUACGCCUGAACCAGCCAAGUCGCGUGAGGGAAGACUGCCCUAUGGGUUGUAAACCUCUUUUGUCAGGGAGCAACGCCGGCUACGUGUAGCCGGACUGAGAGUACCUGAAGAAAAAGCAUCGGCUAACUCCGUGCCAGCAGCCGCGGUAAUACGGAGGGUGCGAGCGUUAAUCGGAAUUACUGGGCGUAAAGCGCUCGUAGGCGGUAUGUCAAGUCAAGGGUGAAAUCCCCGCGCUCAACGUGGGAACUGCCUUUGAGACUG